Molecule: small RNA, 700 nt
Filed under: Pan troglodytes (chimpanzee)
Lineage: Eukaryota; Metazoa; Chordata; Mammalia; Primates; Hominidae
Description: processed transcript
Source: RNAcentral
GGGAAGGAGCGGAGCCGAGCCCGGCCGACGCGGCUUUGUCUCCUUUGUUCCCGGCGGUGGCAGCGCCGCGCGGGAGGGGCGGGCAGCGGGCGCAGUUUUCCGCCCCUCGGUCUCCGGGUAACAGCUGCGGCUCCGCCAGACCCGGGGAGAGGCCGCUGCGCGCGGAGCCCGAGCCCGGAGCGGCCGGCGCCCGCCUCGGCGCGCACAUCCCGCGGGGCCCGGCCGGGUGACUAUGUAUCCGUGAGCGUGGAGCUCAGAUUUGGCGCCGUUGUGAUCGCCAAAACUUCCCUCUCUUUCUAUGACUGUGUGGCGGUCACUGAACUCCGCCCAUCUGCGCAGUGAGUUCCUCGCCCUGUCCCCAGGCCUGGGCUUCCCUGUGGCGACCCCUGCCCCAUGGCUGUGCUCUGUGCAGGUGCCAGGCCUGUGUGAGCAGCCGCUGGGAGUGUAACUGGUGUGUCUGGCAGCACCUGUGCACCCACAAGGCCUCGUGUGAUGCUGGGCCCAUGGUUGCAAGCCAUCAGAGCCCGCUUGUCUCCCCAGACCCUCCUGCAAGAGGUGGACCCAGCCCCUCCCCACCCACAGCCCCCAAAGCCCUGGCCACCCCUGCUCCUGACACCCUUCCCGUGGAGCCUGGGGCUCCCUCCACAGCCACAGCUUCGGACAUCUCACCUGGGGCUAGUCCUUCCCUGCUCAGCCCCUG